CGGACGGGUGAGUAACGCGUGAGAAUCUGGCUUCAGGUCUGGGACAACCACUGGAAACGGUGGCUAAUACCGGAUGUGCCGAAAGGUGAAAGGUUAACUGCCUGAAGAUGAGCUCGCGUCUGAUUAGCUAGUUGGAAGUGUAAUGGACUCCCAAGGCGACGAUCAGUAGCUGGUCUGAGAGGACGAUCAGCCACACUGGGACUGAGACACGGCCCAGACUCCUACGGGAGGCAGCAGUGGGGAAUUUUCCGCAAUGGGCGAAAGCCUGACGGAGCAAUACCGCGUGAGGGAGGAAGGCUCUUGGGUCGUAAACCUCUUUUCUCAGGGAAGAACACAAUGACGGUACCUGAGGAAUAAGCAUCGGCUAACUCCGUGCCAGCAGCCGCGGUAAUACGGAGGAUGCAAGCGUUAUCCGGAAUGAUUGGGCGUAAAGCGUCCGCAGGUGGCAAUGUAAGUCUGCUGUUAAAGAGUCUAGCUCAACUAGAUAAGAGCAGUGGAAACUACAUAGCUAGAGUACGUUCGGGGCAGAGGGAAUUCCUGGUGUAGCGGUGAAAUGCGUAGAGAUCGGGAAGAACACCAGUGGCGAAGGCGCUCUGCUAGGCCGUAACUGACACUGAGGGACGAAAGCUAGGGGAGCGAAUGGGAUUAGAUACCCCAGUAGUC
RNAcentral lists this ribosomal RNA (663 nucleotides) under uncultured cyanobacterium. Its description in RNAcentral is "bacterial SSU rRNA". It matches the Rfam family "Bacterial small subunit ribosomal RNA", at positions 99 to 795 of the family's 1533-position model. The record is from RNAcentral. Lineage: Bacteria; Bacillati; Cyanobacteriota.